This 253-nucleotide ribosomal RNA is filed under the name uncultured bacterium. RNAcentral's name for it is "partial 16S ribosomal RNA". It matches the Rfam family "Bacterial small subunit ribosomal RNA", at positions 524 to 776 of the family's 1533-position model. The record is from RNAcentral.
UACGUAGGGUCCAAGCGUUGUCCGGAAUUACUGGGCGUAAAGAGCUCGUAGGUGGUUUGUCGCGUUGUCCGUGAAAACUCACAGCUUAACUGUGGGCGUGCGGGCGAUACGGGCAGACUAGAGUACUGCAGGGGAGACUGGAAUUCCUGGUGUAGCGGUGGAAUGCGCAGAUAUCAGGAGGAACACCGGUGGCGAAGGCGGGUCUCUGGGCAGUAACUGACGCUGAGGAGCGAAAGCGUGGGGAGCGAACAGG